This 282-nucleotide ribosomal RNA is filed under the name uncultured bacterium. RNAcentral's name for it is "partial 16S ribosomal RNA". It matches the Rfam family "Bacterial small subunit ribosomal RNA", at positions 30 to 314 of the family's 1533-position model. The record is from RNAcentral.
CCUGAACGCUGGCGGCGUGGCUAAGACAUGCAAGUCGUACGGAUGUAGCAAUACAUCAGUGGCGGACGGGUGAGUAAUGAAUCGCUAAUGUACCCCAGAGUCUGGGAGUAGCUGCCCGAAACGGGACAGGUAAUACCAGAUGAUAUAUCCGAUAGGCAUCUGUUGGAUCUCAAAGGAGCAAUACGCUCUGGGAGGCAGGCGAUUUCGAUCAGCUAGUUGGUGAGGUAACGGCUCACCAAGGCGACGACGCGUAGCUGGUCUGAGAGGACGGCCAGCCACAUU